AGCGAACGCUGGCGGCAGGCUUAACACAUGCAAGUCGAGCGGGCACUUUCGGGUGUCAGCGGCGGACGGGUGAGUAACGCGUGGGAACGUGCCCUCUGGUUCGGAAUAACUCAGGGAAACUUGAGCUAAUACCGGAUACGCCCUUCUGGGGGAAGGCUUGCUGGCGGAGGAUCGGCCCGCGUCUGAUUGGCUAGUGGGUGGGGUAACGGCUCACCAAGGCGAGGAGCAGUAGCUGGUCUGAGAGGAUGAUUAGCCACACUGGGACUGAGACACGGCCCAGACUCCUACGGGAGGCAGCAGUGGGGAGUAUUGGACAAUGGGCGCAAGCCUGAUCCAGCCAUGCCGCGUGAGUGAUGAAGGCCUUAGGGUUGUAAAGCUCUUUUAUCCGGGACGAUAAUGACGGUACCGGAGGAAUAAGCCCCGGCUAACUUCGUG
RNAcentral lists this ribosomal RNA (435 nucleotides) under uncultured bacterium. RNAcentral's name for it is "partial 16S ribosomal RNA". It matches the Rfam family "Bacterial small subunit ribosomal RNA", at positions 28 to 507 of the family's 1533-position model. The record is from RNAcentral.